RNAcentral lists this ribosomal RNA (478 nucleotides) under uncultured bacterium. RNAcentral's name for it is "bacterial SSU rRNA". It matches the Rfam family "Bacterial small subunit ribosomal RNA", at positions 30 to 502 of the family's 1533-position model. The record is from RNAcentral.
AUUGAACGCUGGCGGCAUGCUUUACACAUGCAAGUCGAACGGUAACAGGCCGCAAGGUGCUGACGAGUGGCGAACGGGUGAGUAAUGCAUCGGAACGUGCCCAAUCGUGGGGGAUAACGCAGCUAAAGCUGCGCUAAUACCGCAUACGAUCUAAGGAUGAAAGCGGGGGACCGUAAGGCCUCGCGCGAUUGGAGCGGCCGAUGUCAGAUUAGGUAGUUGGUAGGGUAAAGGCCUACCAAGCCAACGAUCUGUAGCUGGUCUGAGAGGAUGAUCCGCCACACUGGGACUGAGACACGGCCCAGACUCCUACGGGAGGCAGCAGUGGGGAAUAUUGGACAAUGGGGGGGAACCCUGAUCCAGCCAUGCCGCGUGUGUGAAGAAGGCCUUUUGGUUGUAAAGCACUUUCGGCUGGGAAGAAAUCGCACAGGCUAAUACUCUGUGUGGAUGACGGUACCAGCACAAGAAGCACCGGCUAACU